RNAcentral lists this ribosomal RNA (408 nucleotides) under uncultured bacterium. Its description in RNAcentral is "bacterial SSU rRNA". It matches the Rfam family "Bacterial small subunit ribosomal RNA", at positions 29 to 429 of the family's 1533-position model. The record is from RNAcentral.
AACGAACGCUGGCGGCGCGCCUAAUACAUGCAAGUCGAGCGAGAAGACGUAGCAAUACGUUUGUAAAGCGGCGAACGGGUGAGGAAUACAUGGGUAACCUACCCUCGAGUGGGGAAUAACUAGCCGAAAGGUUAGCUAAUACCGCGUACGCUCCUUGGACUUCGGUUCAGGGAGGAAAGCGAUACCGUGGGUAUCGCGCUCUUGGAUGGGCUCAUGUCCUAUCAGCUUGUUGGGAGGUAACGGCUCACCAAGGCUUCGACGGGUAGCUGGUCUGAGAGGACGAUCAGCCACACUGGCACUGCGACACGGGCCAGACUCCUACGGGGAGGCAGCAGUAAGGAUAUUGCGCAAUGGCGAAAGCCUGACGCAGCGACGCCGCGUGGGGGAUGAAGGUCUUCGGAUUGUAAA